UACGUAGGGUGCAAGCGUUGUCCGGAAUUAUUGGGCGUAAAGAGCUCGUAGGCGGUCUGUCGCGUCUGCUGUGAAAACUCAGGGCUUAACCCUGAGCUUGCAGUGGGUACGGGCAGACUGGAGUUCGGUAGGGGAGACUGGAAUUCCUGGUGUAGCGGUGAAAUGCGCAGAUAUCAGGAGGAACACCGGUGGCGAAGGCGGGUCUCUGGGCCGAUACUGACGCUGAGGAGCGAAAGCGUGGGGAGCGAACAGG
RNAcentral lists this ribosomal RNA (253 nucleotides) under uncultured bacterium. RNAcentral's name for it is "partial 16S ribosomal RNA". It matches the Rfam family "Bacterial small subunit ribosomal RNA", at positions 524 to 776 of the family's 1533-position model. The record is from RNAcentral.